Drosophila willistoni is the source of this 3243-nucleotide RNA transcript. RefSeq lists it as uncharacterized. NCBI's taxonomy places the organism in Eukaryota, Metazoa, Arthropoda, Insecta, Diptera, Drosophilidae. The record is from RefSeq and is a predicted model, not a curated record. The transcript is spliced from 4 exons.
UCAAACUUUAGUUGCCUUUAGACAGUGUAGGAAUUUCUGGCAUAACAGUCAUUUAAAGUUGAUGUUUCGAUUCUAUAAAUUGUAUUCACUAUAUUUGAGUAAAAUGGCUAAAAUAAUGGAAGGAGGAGAAGAAAACCCAGCCAUGGAAUGGUGUCUGUGCGAGAAGCUGCCCCGGGCCUUGCUGCAUAUACCACUGACCAAGGAUAUGCGCUGUGAGGUAUGUGGUCUAGUGCGAAGAGCCCGUCGUAUAUUCAGUUCGUCCAGUUCGAGCGAUGAGGAGGCAUUCGAGCAGCGUCAGAAGAUGCUUUUGGAGCGUCGAAGGGCUGAGGAGGCGUGCAGUGGUCAGACACGAGUCAAGGUGGCCAUGAAGGCCAAAAAGCCGCCGUCGCAUGCUAAAGCAGACUGCAAUAAAUGCGGAGGCCUACAAAAGUCGCAUGGUAAGGUCUAUGCUGGACGCUUUGGUCACUAUCCGAGACCCAAGCGUUUGGUAAAGCGUGACGAGAAAACUGUUCAUUCCAAAUUGAACACUGCGCCGCCACCAUCUACGCCAACCUCGUCGCCACCAUUGCAGACGUUGCCGGAGACGAUAUCGGAGUCCCCCAAAGACGAGGAUAUGCCCAAUCUAGUUGCUUUGGCCCAUGAAGUGUUCAAGCGGCCAGCUCAUCAACGCAGUCACUGGCCCAGCUAUUAUGGUAAUUUGUUUGUCAGCGAUUUUAUACCCCUGGACAGUCCCAUAACAGAUCCUUCGGGGGGUGCCAUCUCAAAGCGACCAGCUGUAGCUGGCCAACCUUUGCGUACACAUCGCAGUCGACCGUUACCGCCCUUGGCCAAGGUGUUAUCCGAUAUUGCCACGCAGCAGAAGAAGCCUAGGCAACGGGCCAAGGGUGGUGGACUGGAGCCAGAAAAAGAUCGGAAUUCAAGUCAUGCCAGUCAGUUUACCCCCUACGAUGUUUAUGAAGGCCCCUCCGAGGAUUCCUUGAUUGUGAAUAGUGCCAGUUAUCUGAUGCAUCAGCGGGAGCUAAGUAACAGGUCUCUUUUAAGUCUACCCUCCGCUCUUCCACUGUCCACAUUGGCCGAUGCGCAACAUUCCGGUGCCGCCUUAUUCCCACCUUCGGCCCCAUCUUUGGUUGAGCAAAUUGUCCAAUCCACUCAAAAUUCUCAUUAUUUAAGUAGCAGACAAAUCUGCAUCCAACUGGAUACAGAAGUCCGUAAGGCGGCCUCUGAGACUGCCCUCUUGGAUAACAGCAGCUCCAGUAGUUCCAGUAGCAGUGAGAGUUCAGUUCAUUUGGCUCCUCAGCUAACAACAUUUGCUUCCUACCAUAAAAAACAAAAUGAUCUGGCAAUGAAACGAAAACAUUUUCUAGCCGAGGAGCAAUCCCACGAAGAAGCGGAAACAACGCCACCAGCCGUUGUCUCCAUAAUGGAUGAGAUUUUCUGGACACCCAUUGAGAAGAGCAUAUUGACCGAACAUGAUGAGAUAACUGCGAAUAGCCCAAAUAAUGAAGCUGAAAAUAGCGCAAGAGGACAAAAUUGCAAACUGAAUGACUACGGACUGGGGGAGUCCAGAGUGGCAGGUAGCCAUUCCACCACGUAUUUUACAGCAAAAGAGUGCAAUAAAAUCGAAAAAUGUCAGAAAUGUGGGCGACCAUCUAAAGAUAAAUCAACUGGGGAUCAAAUUGGGAAACAAGAAAAAUCUGCUAUCAACUUGGAGGAAACCAAUCAAAUUUCUCAAAUUAAGCAAAGUAAAAUUCCACAAUUUCAAAAUAUUUGUGGAAAAUGUCACAGACCAAAUAGUCAAAGAAGAAAUCAAUCGGUUAUAACAAUACACAGAACUGGAUGCAAGUUUGAUUCGUCUUCGAGUUCGGAUAUUAGUAAUUUAAACAAAAAAUCAUUAAUACCAAUCAUAUCAAAAGUUAACACAUUUAAGAACAACAAGACAAUGAUACCAAAGCUCACACACUCUAAAAUCCGCUUGAAUGAUCCCAAAAGCAAAUUGUUGAAACCUACAAACCAAACGCCUGUUAACCCUAGCUUACAUCUAAUCCACGAAACAUCGAGGCAUUAUCUUAUAAAUUCCUUUCAUAUCGUCCAACAUUGUUGUACAGAGAAGAUUUUACCCAAAAUGUUGGCCUGUUUCAGAGAUAUUAUAGAUACAGCGUGUCUAGUUUCGUACAAACUAGUCGAAAUUGAAGAACCUCAAAUACCAUUGCUGGGCAUAUAUGAAUUUCGUACUCCCGACACUGAUUCAAAUUCGUCUUCGAUAUGUCUAACACCUAUAUCCCAUUUGCCAACACCAAAGGAGAACCAAGUAGGCGAAGGCAAAAAAUUACUACCCGUUUGGCCAGCUCAUCCCUUCAAGUACAGAAAACGUAAAAUUAAGUAUCGUGAAAUGGAAUCAAUAAAUCAAAAGAACAAUCAAAAUGAAAUCAUUGAACAAAACCAUAAUUCGAGUGAAUGCAAAACCCAACACAAAGAGAAGCCUAAACAAGAUAACCAAAACGAUGAAGACAUCCUAAUCGACCAAAAACUAAAAGAAAUGAUGACAAAACCCUUAAAAUUAAUAAUAUCAUCUGAUGACAGCAUAGCGAAACCUUGCACAGACGCGUUAGAUCAACCCAAUGCGAGUGAGGAAAGUGGCAAAGAGCAAAAAACUUCAUCAGGAAAACCAUUACAACUUCUAACCCAAUUAGAUGCAGUUCACGAAUCAGAUAUGGAAUAUUUUACCAGACAUUAAACAAUACAUUGAAUACAAUAUCUACAUAAAAAGAAGCCUUAUUGGACCUAAUACACAACACCACACUAAAGCACUUCAAAGGGACCCAACUUAACGAGACAAUCCUUAGGGGCAAAAUAUUCUUAACAAUCAUUAGCAAAACCUUUUCAAGAUCUUCGUAAAUCACAAAAAAAAUAUACCUUUGGACAACAAGUGGAUAUUACUUCGAGUUUCAAAUGAUGUGCCUGCCAGCUAAACCAUCGCCCUUACGUAUACGUUAUCGCAAACCCCCCCCCGCAGCUUUUCUCUCAAGUAUUGCAAGCAUAACGUAUUGGUUUCUAUAUAUUACCGCAUAUAUCAUCAUUUAUUUGGCUGGAUUGAUCAUUAUAGCGGGUCUAAUCUGUCCACGAUAUGCAUGGCAAGUGCUCAAUCAUAUGCUCGAUCAAUAUCACAUUGAGAAACAAUUCAAAGACGAAUUAUGAGUUGUAUAUUUUUUAAUAAAAAAUGUUUGCUCUUUUUUUGAUUAAGAA